Molecule: ribosomal RNA, 727 nt
Filed under: uncultured Staphylococcus sp.
Lineage: Bacteria; Bacillati; Bacillota; Bacilli; Caryophanales; Staphylococcaceae
Description: bacterial SSU rRNA
Rfam family: Bacterial small subunit ribosomal RNA
Source: RNAcentral
GACGAGGAGCUUGCUCCUCUGACGUUAGCGGCGGACGGGUGAGUAACACGUGGAUAACCUACCUAUAAGACUGGGAUAACUUCGGGAAACCGGAGCUAAUACCGGAUAAUAUAUUGAACCGCAUGGUUCAAUAGUGAAAGACGGUUUUGCUGUCACUUAUAGAUGGAUCCGCGCCGCAUUAGCUAGUUGGUAAGGUAACGGCUUACCAAGGCAACGAUGCGUAGCCGACCUGAGAGGGUGAUCGGCCACACUGGAACUGAGACACGGUCCAGACUCCUACGGGAGGCAGCAGUAGGGAAUCUUCCGCAAUGGGCGAAAGCCUGACGGAGCAACGCCGCGUGAGUGAUGAAGGUCUUCGGAUCGUAAAACUCUGUUAUUAGGGAAGAACAAAUGUGUAAGUAACUAUGCACGUCUUGACGGUACCUAAUCAGAAAGCCACGGCUAACUACGUGCCAGCAGCCGCGGUAAUACGUAGGUGGCAAGCGUUAUCCGGAAUUAUUGGGCGUAAAGCGCGCGUAGGCGGUUUUUUAAGUCUGAUGUGAAAGCCCACGGCUCAACCGUGGAAGGUCAUUGGAAACUGGAAAACUUGAGUGCAGAAGAGGAAAGUGGAAUUCCAUGUGUAGCGGUGAAAUGCGCAGAGAUAUGGAGGAACACCAGUGGCGAAGGCGACUUUCUGGUCUGUAACUGACGCUGAUGUGCGGAAGCGUGGGGAUCAAACAGGAUUAGA